This 390-nucleotide ribosomal RNA is filed under the name Triticum aestivum (bread wheat). RNAcentral describes it as "partial small subunit ribosomal RNA". The record is from RNAcentral. Lineage: Eukaryota; Viridiplantae; Streptophyta; Magnoliopsida; Poales; Poaceae.
AUGCUGUCCUCCGACUAUUACGAUUCCACCAUUCAGCAGCAUGGCCAGGGCGGGUGGAUACAACAUGGUUGCUGUGGCCGCAAGGAUGUACUACGACAAGGGUCGGGCAAGCUUGCGGGGUCGAGCAUGAGAAGGGAGCACGAGAACGGCUACAGUUCCUGUUCCAGGCAGAGGUUCAGGGUGCAGGGCCACAUGCCUAACCAAUAUAUGGCCUCUUGUGAACUUCCAUUCUCUCGGUUGUGCGCUACUACAUCCGGUCGCUCUGAGACAAAGGAGACGAUGGUGGCCAAAGAAACAUCAUCCCCAACUCAGAGCUCCAAAUCUAGUGUCUUGACACGGAAAGAUUCGGACCUUGAGGAUUGGAGUUUGAACGAGAUGCAUUUGGUGUGA